This 257-nucleotide ribosomal RNA is filed under the name uncultured Pseudomonas sp. RNAcentral's name for it is "partial 16S ribosomal RNA". It matches the Rfam family "Bacterial small subunit ribosomal RNA", at positions 96 to 355 of the family's 1533-position model. Lineage: Bacteria; Pseudomonadati; Pseudomonadota; Gammaproteobacteria; Pseudomonadales; Pseudomonadaceae. The record is from RNAcentral.
CGGCGGACGGGUGAGUAAUGCCUAGGAAUCUGCCUGGUAGUGGGGGACAACGUUUCGAAAGGAACGCUAAUACCGCAUACGUCCUACGGGAGAAAGCAGGGGACCUUCGGGCCUUGCGCUAUCAGAUGAGCCUAGGUCGGAUUAGCUAGUUGGUGAGGUAAUGGCUCACCAAGGCGACGAUCCGUAAUUGGUCUGAGAGGAUGAUCAGUCACACUGGAACUGAGACACGGUCCAGACUCCUACGGGAGGCAGCAGCC